UUUUCUUUAAAAAAUUAAACAAUGAAGCAUUGACAUGCACAAAAAGGAUGUUAUCUGAUAUAUAAUUUGACAUUAAUAAAUAUAAAUGUAUAUAUAUGGAUGUGGAUAUGAGAUGAGGAUGAGCCGGCGCAGUGAGAGGAUCGACCCACUCGCACCUGUUGACCGGAUUCCGGAUUUUCCAGGUUAAAAUGUAAAAUGGCGACAAACCGGAAAUGAAACAGGUGGACGUUCUCAACCCUGACGGUUUACUCCGGUGAUUUGUUUUUGUGUGAAGAAAGUGGAGUUUGUUUUCUUUUUCCUGCCGGAUAAACCCGCAAACAGAGGCAGUAAGUCAGCGCUGUGAGCUCUGCUCCUCUUCAGUGGGGCUGUUUUAUAAACUCUGCUUGGACGGGAAUGAGAAACUCCGCAUAAACAAGCGGAGCGACUUUCUUCACCACACGGUAACUUCACUUUAAAUAUGAUCUCUGAGCUGAACACGGUGUCGGGACACGAACACCACAAGACUGAAGUGUGUCAUGCAAAGUGUUCAGACUUCAGGUUUUGUAUAUAAGGAAGUCCCGUGCUUACAUUUGAACCCUUACAGUGGUGUGUGUGUGUGUGUGUGUGUGUGUGUGACAGUGUUGUCUCUCUGUGUGUGUGACAGUGUUGUCUCUGUGUGUGUGUGUGUGUGACAGUGUUGUCUCUCUCUGUGUGUGUGUGUGUGUGUGUGUGUGUGUGUGUGUGUGACAGUGUUGUCUCUUGUUGUCUCUGUGUGUGUGUGUGUGACAGUGGUGUGUGUGUGUGACAGUGUUGUCUCUGUGUGUGUGACAGUGUUGUGUCUCUCUCUCUCUGUGUGUGUGUGUGUGUGUGUGUGUGUGUGACAGUGUUGUCUCUCUCUGUGUGUGUGUGUGUGUGUGUGUGUGUGUGACAGUGUUUGUUGUCUCUCUGUGUGUGUGUGUGACAGUGUUGUCUCUGUGUGUGUGUGACAGUGUUGUGUGUGUGUGUGUGUGUGAGACAGUGUUGUCUGUGUGUGUGACAGUGUUGUCUGUGUGUGUGACAGUGGUGUGUGUGUGUGUGUGUCUCUGUGUGUGUGACAGUGUUGUGUGUGUGUGUGUGUGUGACAGUUGUGUGUGUGUGUGUGACAGUGGUGUCUCUGUGUGUGUGUGUGACAGUGGUGUCUCUGUGUGUGUGUGUGUGACAGUGGUGUGUGUGUGUGUGUGACAGUGUUGUCUCUGUGUGUGUGACAGUGUUGUCUCUGUGUGUGUGACAGUGUUGUCUCUGUGUGUGUGACAGUGUUGUCUCUGUGUGUGUGUGACAGUGUUGUCUCUGUGUGUGUGACAGUGUUGUCUCUGUGUGUGUGACAGUGUUGUGUGUGUGUGUGUGUGUGACAGUGGUGUCUCUGUGUGUGUGACAGUGUUGUCUGUGUGUGUGUGUGUGACAGUGUUGUCUCUGUGUGUGUGUGUGACAGUGUUGUCUCUGUGUGUGUGUGUGUGACAGUGUUGUCUCUGUGUGUGUGUGACAGUGUUGUGUGUGUGUGUGUGUGUGAGACAGUGUUGUCUGUGUGUGUGACAGUGUUGUCUGUGUGUGUGACAGUGGUGUGUGUGUGUGUGUGUCUCUGUGUGUGUGACAGUGGUGUCUGUGUGUGUGUGUCUGUGUGUGUGUGACAGUGGUGUCUCUGUGUGUGUGUGUGUCUGUGUGUGUGUGACAGUGUUGUUUCUGUGUGUGUGACAGUGUUGUCUCUGUGUGUGUGUGUGUGACAUUGUUGUCUCUGUGUGUGUGUGUGUGUGUGACAGUGUUGUCUCUGUGUGUGUGUGUGUGUGACAGUGUUGUCUCUGUGUGUGUGACAGUGUUUGUUGUCUCUGUGUGUGUGACAGUGUUGUCUGUGUCUGUGUGUGUGUGUGUGACAGUGUUGUCUGUGUGUGUGUGUGUGUGUGACAGUGUUGUCUCUGUGUGUGUGUGUGUGUGUGACAGUGUUGUCUCUGUGUGUGUGUGUGUGUGUGUGUGUGACAGUGGUGUCUGUGUGUGUGUGUGUCUGUGUGUGUGUGACAGUGUUGUCUCUGUGUGUGUGACAGUGUUGUCUCUGUGUGUUGUUGUCUCUGUGUGUGUGACAGUGGUGUCUGUGUGUGUGUGUGUGUGUGACUGGUGCCUCUGUGUGUGUGUGACAGUGGUGCCUGUGUGUGUGUGUGUGUGUGACAGUGUUGUCUCUGUGGGUGACAGUGUUGUCUCUGUGUGUGACAGUGUUGUCUCUGUGGGUGACAGUG
This is a long non-coding RNA of Ictalurus punctatus (channel catfish), 2240 nucleotides long. The record is from Ensembl. NCBI's taxonomy places the organism in Eukaryota, Metazoa, Chordata, Actinopteri, Siluriformes, Ictaluridae.